CAUAAAAUCUUUUAAGAACGAGAGACGAAUUCUUCAUAAGUUGGAAAGAACAACUUUAGCUAGGAAUCCAAAUCAAGAAAUGUUAAGAACUUGAAGAAUCAAAUCUUGAGAUUGAAUAUCAAGAACAAGAAAUAGAUUUCACAUCUCCUUCUUGUAAUUAUAAAUUUCAGGUGAUGAAUUUUCAAUUCCUUUAUUUUUUUUAUCUUUGGAAAUAUGCUAGGUUAGAUUUCUUUGGUGGUGGGAUGAAGAUGAAUCUUAUUGUUUUUUAUUUUUAAUUCAAAAAUAAAGUAGUUUAGUUAAUUUGUGUUAUUGAUUUAUUUUGUAUGCUUUAUUGAAUUAUUUGAUCACCAAACAGGUAAUUAAUUACUUGUUAUAGUGCUGAGAAGUUUACAAUACAUUUACAACUUUGCAAUUUCAAGACUCGAACAAUAAACGUUAGGAAUAACAUAUAAGGUGUGUGCAAUCAUAUAGAAAAUUUUGUAAUUGAAUUACUUUGUAUAUAAAUUUCAACUAGGAAUAUGGUCAAGUCAUUCUUCGAAUAUGUUAACUUAAUUCUGGAGAAAGAAUUAAAUAAAAUUGAAUUAUCAAUUGUCAUGAAU
This 599-nucleotide long non-coding RNA is filed under the name Olea europaea subsp. europaea. The record is from RNAcentral. Lineage: Eukaryota; Viridiplantae; Streptophyta; Magnoliopsida; Lamiales; Oleaceae.